This 715-nucleotide ribosomal RNA is filed under the name bacterium OPL17.2. RNAcentral describes it as "bacterial SSU rRNA". It matches the Rfam family "Bacterial small subunit ribosomal RNA", at positions 51 to 785 of the family's 1533-position model. The record is from RNAcentral.
AUACAUGCAGUCGACGGACAAGUAAGAGCUUGCUCUUAUGAGUUAGUGGCGCACGGGUGANUAANGUAUAGCUAAUCUGCCCUACACUAGAGGACAACAGUUGGAAACGACUGCUAAUACUCUAUACUCCUCUUUAACAUAAGUUAGAUAGGGAAAGUUUUUCGGUGUAGGAUGAGGCUAUAUUGUAUCAGCUAGUUGGUGAGGUAAUGGCUCACCAAGGCUAUGACGCAUAACUGGUCUGAGAGGAUGAUCAGUCACACUGGAACUGAGACACGGUCCAGACUCCUACGGGAGGCAGCAGUAGGGAAUAUUGCUCAAUGGGGGAAACCCUGAAGCAGCAACGCCGCGUGGAGGAUGACACUUUUCGGAGCGUAAACUCCUUUUGUUAGGGAAGAAUAAUGACGGUACCUAACGAAUAAGCACCGGCUAUCUCCGUGCCAGCAGCCGCGGUAAUACGGAGGGUGCAAGCGUUACUCGGAAUCACUGGGCGUAAAGGACGCGUAGGCGGAUUAUCAAGUCUCUUGUGAAAUCCUAUGGCUUAACCAUAGAACUGCUUGGGAAACUGAUAAUCUAGAGUGAGGGAGAGGCAGAUGGAAUUGGUGGUGUAGGGGUAAAAUCCGUAGAGAUCACCAGGAAUACCCAUUGCGAAGGCGAUCUGCUGGAACUCAACUGACGCUAAUGCGUGAAAGCGUGGGGAGCAAACAGGAUUAGAUAC